This 126-nucleotide small nucleolar RNA is filed under the name Mus spretus (western wild mouse). Its description in RNAcentral is "predicted gene, 24908 (ENSMSPG00010013724.1)". It matches the Rfam family "Small nucleolar RNA SNORA17". From Rfam's summary of the family: snoRNA ACA 17 belongs to the H/ACA family of snoRNAs and is predicted to guide pseudouridylation of the 28S rRNA at positions U4659 and U4598. It shares the same host gene together with ACA43. The record is from RNAcentral. Lineage: Eukaryota; Metazoa; Chordata; Mammalia; Rodentia; Muridae.
CCUGCCCGUGCAAGUGUUACAAGUGUGGCUGCUGUGUUACAUGUGAGUCAGUAGUUGCAAGGAGAAAGAGGCUAUAUUUAUGCUCAGUGGUCCUACGAACAUCUGAGUAAUUAGUGGUCUAGCAGU